AGCUAUUUAGUUUAUUUAGAAUGUUUGUUUGUGGUAUAAAAGGUUUUGUAGCUA
This 54-nucleotide transfer RNA is filed under the name Nematodirus oiratianus. RNAcentral describes it as "tRNA-His". The record is from RNAcentral. Lineage: Eukaryota; Metazoa; Nematoda; Chromadorea; Rhabditida; Molineidae.